UGGCUCCUCAUGGCUUGUUUAGCCUGCUUUUUUAUAGAACCCAGGACCACCAGCCCAGGGAUGGCCCCACCCACAAUGGUCUGGGCCCUUCCUUGUCACUCACUAAGAAAUAUCAUACAGACAUGCCUACAGGUGAUCUGAUGAAGGCAUUUUCUCAGCUGAAGUUCCUCUUCCCAGAUAACUCUAGCUUUCGUCAAGCAGACAGACAGACAUACAUACAGACAGACCGACCAUGCAUCCUCUGAUGGGGCCACUGGCUGGUUCCUCUUCACAUGGAACUUCUCUGGCAUGAGCUGAUUGUGUCUGUCAUGUGGCUGCUGACUUCUCCAGUCAGUCUGAAUGAUCUAGAAGAGCUGGCAGACGUCCACCGUGUACUGAGGGAUCCAGCUCGGAAGUCUCACUACGCCUCAGCCACAUCCCUUCCCUAGAAAUGAGUCACCAAGCCCUGCUAUCCUUAAGGGGAGGGGGGCCACCUCAGAAGGGAGGGAUGUCAUGGGGUUUGUGAGAACCAAGACACCCCAGGGCUCCAAUCUUGUAACCAGAGAUGGGUGAAGCCAGGGCUUCCUGGCCAGUCCACUCCGUGGACACACGUUACUUUUUGCUGUGCAAUGCAGCAGCCUCUAGCUUCAUCUGUCUCUAGGUUUGUCCAUUAAAUGAAAAGUGAAAAACCUAUCCAUCCAACUUUCUAAAAAAAUUAGGGUCUCUCAUAGCACAGGCUGGCCUCAAACUCUCAAUCCUCCCGCCUCUUCCCCACCAAUGCUGGGUGGGAUUGCAGGUGUGUAUCACCCUAUACCUUGGCUUGGGAAAACUUCUAUAUCUAUUUGAAACCACUUGAGUGAGUGAAACCUUUUCUCCCCUUAAACUUCAUAAACUCUAUAUAUCAAGUGUUCCCAGGGAAUAGCUAGCAUUCAGACUGGAUUUUGAAGUCAGUGCAAACAAAGAGAGUAUGAACCAUCACGUUAAUGUUCUGAUACUGAUUACACAUAAAGUUGACAGUACUCCUAAUAUGCUGGGCUAAAUAAAGCCACUUAAAAAAAAAGUGGAUGUAUGUAUGUAGGGGAGCAUAGCAUGGAUACACAUGUGGGGGCUGGAGGUGGGCCUCAGGUUUCUUUAUGACUCUCUGCCUUCUUUUUUAAUAAAAAACAGAUUUAUUUUUAUAAUUUUGGAUUAUGUGUAGGUAUGUGUGUCUGCCCGUGGGAGGAUUGUAAGUUCAGAGCUAGCCUGGUCAACUUAGUGAGACCUUGUUUUAAAAUACAGAAUGAGCCAAGUGUGCUAGCUGUACCCAUCAAGAGAUGGAGACAGAAAGAUAAGGCUGCCCCCAGCUCCAGAGCAAGUAGACCAGCCCAGGCUACAAGAGACCCCGUCUCAAAAAACAAACUUGAAGCUAGGAAGAUGGCUCAGUUCAUCAAUGUACUUGCUGUCAAGGCCUGUGACUCAAGUUCAAAUCACAUGGUAGAAACACGGAAGUGAAUCCCACUAGUUGACCUCUGACCUUCAUGUGUGCCACACAGCCCAUGCCCACUGAUUUGUCUUUUUAAAAAAGAAUCGAAUGCAAAAAAGCAAAUGAAAAGUUGAAGGACAGCGAGGGAAAUAGGUCAGUGGUAGAGCAUUUGCCUGACCUGCCCAUUAAAGGCCCUGGGUUCAAUACCCACUACCACAAAAAAUAAAAUAACAAAAUGGCACUAAGGUAGCCUGAGCCACCGUUUGCAGGGUGCUUAGUGGCUCAGGCCACCCCAGACCAACAAAAUUCCACCUGCCAUGACGUUUCAAAGUGAGUCAGUCUGGGAAAGUGAAUCAAGGUGCUCACCCAGGAGGCCACACCCAAGGAAGGUUGGUUUGUCCUCUCAACUCAGUUCCGCUCAGCCUCCUGCCUUUGGGUCUUGGCAUAUGGGCUUCCCUCUUUCGCUGUGUGAGAGCACACAGACAUUCUGCAUACUCUAGGCAUCUAAUAGGGGAGCAGGCACUGACAGUUUUUUCCGUUCAUGGGUGUCAGAUACAGUGUGCCAGCCACCCUGUGUCUGAGGGGUGUGUUUGUGGGUGCAAUGGAGAAGGAGAUGGGGAUGUCCAAUUUGAAAAAAGGGUGCAUGGGUAAGUGAGAAAAGUAGGUCAGAGACGAUGCCCCUCAGACAACCCAGUAUUUCAAAACGCAGAUUCCAUAUUUACUUGUUUGUGGAUAGAAAAGUCUAGAAAGGUAAGUCGCCAAUUACCUUGAGGGAGGACAGGUGUGAGGUUGAAAAUAUGCAGAGAAUUUUUUUUUUAUUCUUCCUUACUGCCUUCUGGAGCUGAAGAAGUUCUUCGGGACUAAACUUCCAGAGCCUUCACAGUUGGUCUCUGCCGAGUCAAGCUGCCACUUACCAAGAUGGACGCAGGGCCAGUGGAGGGACAGAUCUGUGGAAUUCUGGGAAAUCCAGCUGAAUCCAGAGAUGGCAGAGAUUUGGAUGCCGAAGUUUCCAAAGGAUGAAUGUUCCUAAUUCCCUCAUUCUGCACUCAACAAGUCAUCUUUUGGAGGACACAUCUCAUCACUUUCAGCGCUCUCUCCAGCUGCCUUGAGUAACAGCUGAGCCUGUUACAAGGGCCUCCGUGACCCAGAAAGCACCUCUGCCUACCUCUUGCCACCAUCUUUCUUGUUCAUUACUCCAGCAACCCUGACCUCCUGUCAGUCCCAGCUCCUGCCAAACUUUCCCCGUCCCACACUGCCCCUGCUGCCCGGGGAAUAUUCUAGGUAGGAUUGCCACAUCCUUCAACUGUCAGCUCGAAUGUCACAUUCUCAGGAUGUCUAUUAUUUCUCCACUGUUCCUUCCCAACACUACAGUCCAGAGCUGUCUUGUGUCUCUAUUCACAUGGCUGGACUAAGGACAGUUUGGGUCACCAUUCUAAGCCCCAUCUGAACUCAAUGCUGCAAAAGGAAUGCCUAAAAGUAAAUAUGGAUGUAGAGGUGGCCCUCUGUGCUGAAUGUUGGACAAUCGGUGCCUGGUUCCACCCUGUGGAUCCACCCCAUGGCUAUCCAAGAUGUCAUCUCUGGGUCCUUCCAAGAAACCAAGCUGGAAAGUAUCUUAGUUAGGGUUUCUAUUGCUUUGAAGAGACACCUUGACCAUGGUAACUCUUACUGAGGCUGGCUUACAGGUUCAGAGGCUGAGUGUAUCCUUGUCAUGGCGGGAGGCAUGGCGGCAUGUGGGCAAACAUGCUGCUGGAGAAGGAGUCCAGGGUUCUCCAUCUGGAUGGGCAGGAGCCUAGCGGGCCAUUUCAUUCAUAUCACUGCAGAAAAAUAACAGUCCCAUAACUUUAUCUUUAGGGAGAAAGACCAGGUGAGGUGUCAGAGAAGGGCCAGGGUGCUUCUGGUUUAAGGACCCACCCUGUGAGCAGUUCAAGACUGUGGCAUGAAGCAGAGAUUCCAGGCUGCUCCAGGGUGCCAGGGGACUUUUCAAGCUUGUGUUUCUGUCUUAGGAAGAUGGGGCUGGCUUCUGGGAGUGCAGUUUAAUUACAUUCAGUUGGCUGGAUACUGUCAAAGGCUGCUCUGGGUCUUGCCAGCCUCAUAGACUCAGGCAUCUUUCCAGUAAACGUGUGAGAGAGAGCAAGCCAUGUGGUACCCCUGGCAAGCUAUGGCACCAAGGCAUCCUCCACUCACCAUCAGCCCACCCGGGCAUGCACAGCAGGAGACCAAGGGACCUUCCAACCUCUGGGUGUCCCGGGCCAAUGGGAAGGUCCUGUGGAGCCCAGCUGCCCCUGAGGAAGCAGAGGCAUGGGACAGUAACCUCUCUCACCCAAGAUCACACUGUUUGAAAGCAGCCAGAGUAUAGAUGGUUGCAUGAAUCAGAUACUCUUUGGGGACCUGUAUUAUUGAGUAUUGUCACUGUUCUGGGUGAAGCAUAGCCCUUUGCCCUCAGAGGUCUUUCUGUCCGCCUUACUAUAUGUAUGUAUGAAUGUAUUACUUAUUUCUGGA
Long non-coding RNA from Mesocricetus auratus (golden hamster), 3940 nucleotides. RefSeq lists it as uncharacterized. The transcript has 2 exons. NCBI's taxonomy places the organism in Eukaryota, Metazoa, Chordata, Mammalia, Rodentia, Cricetidae. The record is from RefSeq and is a predicted model, not a curated record.